Molecule: non-coding RNA, 290 nt
Organism: Myodes glareolus (Bank vole)
Lineage: Eukaryota; Metazoa; Chordata; Mammalia; Rodentia; Cricetidae
Source: RefSeq, a predicted model, not a curated record
UUGCUUAGGGCCACAACUACAGACACCGGAAUCCAGUAACCACCUGCUUGGAAGGAUUGUAUUGGUUACCAAGGAAAGGAAAAUUGUCAGAAAUUUCAAUGUUUAUUGCGGAUCUCUAGAUUUUGAGGCUUCACUUUUAUUAGUGUAAAGUUCCUCCGAACCACACUUUAUAGAGACGAAAUGCCUGAGGAGCCAUGACCAUCAAGAUUGGUCUGCUUUGGAGUGUGAACAGCCCUAGGAUGAAAGGUUUUCUUUGUGAUUUUUGUGCAUGAAUAAAAAAGAAAUCAAGA